AUAAAGGCUUUAUUAAAAGCUAUUAAAAAACUACAGCAACAAGACUU
Molecule: non-coding RNA, 47 nt
Organism: Helicobacter apodemus
Lineage: Bacteria; Pseudomonadati; Campylobacterota; Epsilonproteobacteria; Campylobacterales; Helicobacteraceae
Source: Rfam